CUUCUGCAUUAGAGGCCACUCCGUGAGGACUUCCUUGCUCUCCUCUGAGCAGUGGAAGGUUUUUAAUCACUCCUUGUGUAGCAGGCACUCCAGCCUGCUACCUGACAGCCAUCUAACUCCCUCCUCUCUGCUGGUAGAACAAGUUCACUCUUUCCUCAUGUGAUGAAGGUAAAUCCAGAUUGGUCUAGGCCACAUGGAUGGCCCCAGACCACUUCUGAGUGUUUAGUGGUGGGCAUGUGCCCCAGUUCUGACCAGUGAGACAUGAGGGGAGGUUGGCUUGGGAAUUUUGAAAGGUCUCUUCAUUCAUAGAGAGAUGCAUAAGAAACAGUUCUUUAUCUGUCCGCCUUGGCGUUGUUACAAGAGGAUGGGAUGCCUUUGACCUUUCUGUACCUAGGAGGAGAGCUUGCUGAUGCUCUGAGGAUAGCAGAGUAGGUGGAAAGAGCUUGAUGGUGUUGAGCUGCUGAAUUACCAAACUGGAAGCAGACUACAUGUGGACUUCUUUUUAUAUGAGAUGCCACCGUAAGUCAUCAACGGAGCAUGUUUUCCUUCUGGUACUGAUUGCUCAGAAGCUCAGAGUAUCAGUGGGUCUUCACAUCUCAGUUCAAAAGUCACCACCUCUGGGAAGCCUGUGUGAACAUCCUUGACUGCCUCAGCAACAACUUCUCUGCAGUAGCGCCAAUAAGGUAGUAUUCAUUCAAUUCAAAUGGCAAUUAUACACUACUAUAGUUAUGUGUCCCUGAAGGAGGGGGAUGCGUUCUGAGAAAUGAAUUGUUAGGGGACUUCAUCGUGUGAAUAUCGUAGGGUGUACUUACACAAACCUAGAGGGUACAGCCUACCACACACCUAGGCUACAUGGUAGAGCCUAUUGUGUCUAGGCUAUAAACCUGGACAGCAUGUUACUGUUGUGAAUACUGUAGGCAACUAUAACACAAUGCUAUUUGUGUAUCUAAACAUAGAAAAGGUAUAGUAAAAACAUGGUAUUAUCAUCUUUAAAAUAGGUUGUUUUGUUUAAAAAACAUUCAGUCAGUACCAAUGGUAUUAUAGUCUUAUGGGACCACUGCCACAGAUGCAGCCUAUAGUUGACUGAAAUUUCAUUAUGCGCAUAUGACUGUACUAUUGGUAAUAUUAAAAGCUGGUUUUUUAUGUGCUAGGCACUGUUCAAGUGCUUUACAUGCUCCUUUAAUCCCCUUGGUAAUCCUAUGAGGAAGGUUCUUUUCAUUAUUCCAUUUAGUAGGACAGCAAAUUGAGGCACAGAGGUUAAGCCAGUAGUCUAAGGUUACAUGGCUUGUAAGUGGCAGAGUCAAAUUGUAAACCCAGACAAUUUGGUUCUAGACUUCACACUCCAUGCCUGCCUCCAACUAGGGUCCACUUCCCUCUGCUCUCAUUGCCCUUGCACUUACUUUACUCUGGUGUCUCCUAUAUUUUAGAUUUCCAUUUAUUGGUUUCUCCCCCAACAGGUUUGCAGAAUCCCUGAAGGUUAAUAAUGUGUCUAGCUCAUUUUUGUCUCUCCAGGACCUAGUAAGGUACUUGGUAUAUCGUAGAUACUCAGUAAAGACACACACAGGAAAACACUGGAAUAGCAUUGAAAGGAUAGGAGCCAAGGCUAUCAACCCAGGCCUGAUAAAAACGCACCAGUAUAAAGAAUCUUCAAAUACACACUUUAACAAAGCAAGUUUUGACUUCAUCUUUUAAAUCCAGCCAGUUCCAAGGAGAUGGUCACUUCCUAGGCCUGUUCAAUACCAGAGGGAGAAGAAGCAACUCGGAGCAACUCGGAGCUUGGCAGACUUGCUCACACCUCCAAGUUCAUCAGUUUUAUUUGACUUUGCAUGUAGAACUAAGUAAUAACAUGCUUAAGCAAUAGCAUACCCAGUGUCUUGGCUGGCCAUUAUCAAGGACUGCCAGAAAAGACACAUGCUGAAAAAUCUCCUUUGGCUGCCUGGACAUGGCUUGGAUAUUUCUACCCUGGAGUUCCAGGAUAUAUUUCUUUCCAUUACUAUCUAAACUCCCCUCAGAUGGCUAUGGAAUUUGAACUUGUAGAAGAAUACUUUCCUCUAACAGUGAGAAAGGCAAAAAGUUUUAAGAUCUAGAACAUAUACAGAUCUCUAGGAAGAGAAGGAGCUCUCUCUAGCCUGGUCAGAGAUUGUAUUAGGAUUGUGGCCCAGCCUACCCACUUGCAGAUAAAUGCAGUCAGCCAUAACAUCCACCCUUUAUACUGCAUCUAGAAUGUAAAAGAAUCCACUAGCUUCCCAUGUGCAUGGACGGAUGUCAGCAUCACUUGUUCUUAACAACCAAACCAUAAAUCUGUAUUCUGACUCUUGCCAUAUCAUCUCCUUACAUGAUAAGAAAUAAUGACAUUAAUUUAUUUAUUAUUGAGAGGUAUACUGAAUGUAAAUCAUGUGCUAGGGAUGGUUGUAGGUGCUGGAGAUGCAGUGGUGAAUGAAGUAUAUUACAUUCUUGACUUGAGGCCUUUACAUUGUAAUCGGGGACAGCAAACAAACACGUAUACAAAUAAGUAAAUAAGAUCAUUUUAAACAAUAAGUUCUACAAUUUUUUUCAUACAUGCAAGGAGUGAAGUGACCUAAUGAAGAGUUUAACAAGGUCUCUUCAGCAGCUGUAGGGAGGAGUAUUGAAGA
This 2633-nucleotide long non-coding RNA is filed under the name Homo sapiens (human). RNAcentral describes it as "HSALNT0008504". Lineage: Eukaryota; Metazoa; Chordata; Mammalia; Primates; Hominidae. The record is from RNAcentral.